Non-coding RNA from Vicia faba (fava bean), 297 nucleotides. The record is from the annotation of a GenBank genome assembly. Lineage: Eukaryota; Viridiplantae; Streptophyta; Magnoliopsida; Fabales; Fabaceae.
AUGCAGGCUCAUAUGCUUCGUCAAGAUCAGUUGUUCCAUGCCAUGCAACAAAACCAAGCUGAGACUUUACGUCUCGUACAAGAAGUACAACGUGACCAACUAGAGUUGCAACGCCACCAACAAGAGAUGCGACGCGAACAACAUGAAUAUGCCUUUCGCCAUGAUCGUAACCUCGAAUCUUUGCAAGCUCGCAUAGCAGACGCACUUCAUCUUAAUGAUUCUGAUUCUGACGUACGACGAAGACCUCGUACUAGAGGACGAAGAACAAGAGAUCAUGAUUCUCAAAGCAAUGAGUGA